RNAcentral lists this ribosomal RNA (688 nucleotides) under uncultured Aeromicrobium sp. Its description in RNAcentral is "bacterial SSU rRNA". It matches the Rfam family "Bacterial small subunit ribosomal RNA", at positions 8 to 710 of the family's 1533-position model. Lineage: Bacteria; Bacillati; Actinomycetota; Actinomycetes; Propionibacteriales; Nocardioidaceae. The record is from RNAcentral.
AGAGUUUGAUCAUGGCUCAGGACGAACGCUGGCGGCGUGCUUAACACAUGCAAGUCGAGCGGUAAGGCUCCUUCGGGAGUACACGAGCGGCGAACGGGUGAGUAACACGCGAGUAACCUGCCCCUUUCUUCGGAAUAACCAGUGGAAACGCUGGCUAAUGCCGAAUACGACCACCGAAGGCAUCUUCUGGUGGUGGAAAGCUCCGGCGGAGAGGGAUGGACUCGCGGCCUAUCAGCUUGUUGGUGAGGUAACGGCUCACCAAGGCAACGACGGGUAGCCGGCCUGAGAGGGUGACCGGCCACACUGGGACUGAGACACGGCCCAGACUCCUACGGGAGGCAGCAGUGGGGAAUAUUGGACAAUGGGCGAAAGCCUGAUCCAGCAACGCCGCGUGAGGGAUGACGGCCUUCGGGUUGUAAACCUCUUUCAGUAGGGACGAAGCGAAAGUGACGGUACCUACAGAAGAAGGACCGGCCAACUACGUGCCAGCAGCCGCGGUAAUACGUAGGGUCCGAGCGUUGUCCGGAAUUAUUGGGCGUAAAGGGCUCGUAGGCGGUUUGUCACGUCGGGAGUGAAAACUCAGGGCUCAACCCUGAGCGUGCUUCCGAUACGGGCAGACUAGAGGUAUGCAGGGGAGAACGGAAUUCCUGGUGUAGCGGUGGAAUGCGCAGAUAUCAGGAGGAACACC